Sinocyclocheilus grahami is the source of this 2087-nucleotide long non-coding RNA. The record is from Ensembl. NCBI's taxonomy places the organism in Eukaryota, Metazoa, Chordata, Actinopteri, Cypriniformes, Cyprinidae.
UGCACUUCAUGUAGCACUAUUUGCUUCUGUGUCUUAUAAUGUUGCAUGUACCCUCUCUCAGGGCGCCAACCGUACAACAGAGGAGGCAGAACGUGAGAGGAGAGAGCGAGAUGAGCGGAUGAGGCACAGCAGGAAUCCUGCAGCUCGUGGUAUCCCAGCAGCCUCAGGCAGACCUCGCCCCACACAGGAGGGAGCUCCUCCCACCCCCCUCACACCCACCUCUCACACAGGUAAACAGUCUUUCACUUGCCUCUGCCACUUCCCAAGUACUUGAAACACUGUAAGGAGUCAUCUCAUCUCACAGCGAACACAUCCUCACCGAGACCGGUCACUGGCAUGGAGCGCGAACGUAAGGUCAGCAUGCGGCUUCAUCGUGGCGCCCCAGUGAACGUGUCGUCCUCGGACCUGACGGGGCGUCAAGACACUUCCCGCAUGUCCACAUCACAGGUAUAAGGCAGACCCUGCUCAUCCAAGCCUUCAGCAGAGCAAUAAUAAACCCUAUUACAAAAGUAGCCAGUCGGUAUCUGAAUGAUCUGUUUUGAUGUUUACUUAUUUCUACACAUAAAAAUUGUUCACAAAAAUAAAUACCUGAUGAAAUGUUAGUACAUCUUUUAUUGUUUGACCUUUUGAUUCUCAUGAUCUCUAUUAGAGUUUCUGAUUGGUGACAUUUGAGCUUAAAAUUUAAUCUGCUUAUUAGGUAGUUGAAAAGCCUUUUCUAGGAAGCUGUUGACCUAACGUUUGUGUUUCUGGGAAAAGAUAUUUCAGCAGCAUAUAUUCUUUCAAUAUGAUGGACAGUAGGCACGGUAUGAUUUAUGGGUUGGUGUGAGUAGUGUGUUGUGGGGGUGGAAGGCUGUAAUGUUCUCUCUCUUCACCCCAGAAUAGCAUUCCCUUCGAACACCACGGCAAGUAGUUGAUCGUCACAUCCUUGUGUGAAGGCAAAUGCACCAGAUUGUCUCCAUGUCCCAGAAGCCUCCACUUUGCAAUAUGGAGCAGGAUGGGCAACCUAACUACACAUGGCUGAUUGACAGCUCUCCACCAUCAGCUAAUAGAUCGGCCGUCAGUGUCUCUCUUCUAUUGACCAAACCAAAAUGGUGUAGAACCAACCCGACCUCUUUGCUUACAGGCUUCCUCUCCUCUUCUUCUCUCUCAUGUUCUCAUAUUUUCUCUCCUACACUUUUUAAAUGUUCUCGUGGACAUGAGAGCUACAGCCUGGUGCGAAUUCACACCAUUUGGUUGACCAAUCAGAGACCGGAUCAGCCAGCCACACCAUUGUCAGCUCCUGCGUCCUUCCUUCACAGUUCCACUCACACACAUUCAGUGCUGCACAACUUUCUCUGGUUCAGGCUCCUCGUGAUUGAGGCUAAUGUAUCGUCUGUGUGGUUUAAAUGGGUCUUUUUGUUUCUGUGUACUGAAAUUUCUUUUGUAUUUUAACCUGGGCAACAGACGAGUCCGUCUGGUGGCCUUAUGGGUUCACUUUAAAAUUUUCUAUUUACUCCAUGUAUUUAUUUUUUAAUAUACAUUUUAAUACCCCUCUGUAGCUGGUGAGGUUCCUUUCCCGCAGUGAAGCUGGUGGUAUAGAGUGGACGGACCACAAAGGGGCCAGAAUCCCAGCAUACAUCGCUCAUGGCAAACUGACUCCACAGCGUGGUUUUUACUCAUACAUGUGCUCACAGCGGGACCCUGUGAACUUCACCUGUUUGUCUGCUAUAUUGAUCUCUUUAACUGUACAAUACUGCCUCCCCCUUUAUUGUGUCUUCUGUUUCUAAGCUGUGAAAUAACUAAAAUAAUCGUGUAAAUGUUUCCAUGCGAUUCUUCAGAAAGACUAUGAAAUGACCGCAGAUGGUUUGAGUCUGAAAGUUAUCACCAGUUAUUUUUAUCAACUCUUUCAUAAAGCCACAACAAUGAAGUGCCAGACUUUGGGGGUUUCAUGCAUUCUGAGCAUGAACUUUGACUCUUGAGGAUGUUGUUUUGACUCAUGAAUGGAGAUCAUGCUUAGAAAUGCUUUGUCUCUUUUGAAAAGGUUGGUUAUACUUUGCUGCAAAUUUUUUUUUUCUGAUGGUUCAGAUGGUGUUUUGUAAGUGAAAAGU